AACGAACGCUGGCGGCAGGCCUAACACAUGCAAGUCGAGCGCGCCCUUCGGGGUGAGCGGCGGACGGGUGAGUAACGCGUGGGAACGUGCCCUUUUCUACGGAAUAGCCUCGGGAAACUGAGAGUAAUACCGUAUACGCCCUUUGGGGGAAAGAUUUAUCGGAAAAGGAUCGGCCCGCGUUGGAUUAGGUAGUUGGUGGGGUAAUGGCCUACCAAGCCGACGAUCCAUAGCUGGUUUGAGAGGAUGAUCAGCCACACUGGGACUGAGACACGGCCCAGACUCCUACGGGAGGCAGCAGUGGGUAAUCUUAGACAAUGGGGGCAACCCUGAUCUAGCCAUGCCGCGUGAGUGAUGAAGGCCUUAGGGUUGUAAAGCUCUUUCAGCUGGGAAGAUAAUGACGGUACCAGCAGAAGAAGCCCCGGCUAACUCCGUG
RNAcentral lists this ribosomal RNA (433 nucleotides) under uncultured bacterium. Its description in RNAcentral is "partial 16S ribosomal RNA". It matches the Rfam family "Bacterial small subunit ribosomal RNA", at positions 29 to 507 of the family's 1533-position model. The record is from RNAcentral.